AGAAUCAACGCUGGCGGCGUGCCUAACACAUGCAAGUCGCACGAGAAAGGGUAGCAAUACCUGAGUAAAGUGGCGCACGGGUGAGUAACACGUGAAUGAUCUACCUCCGAGUGGGGAAUAACUGAGAGAAAUCUUAGCUAAUACCGCAUAACACUUACGAGUCAAAGCAGCAAUGCGCUUGGAGAGGAGUUCGCGGCCGAUUAGUUAGUUGGCGGGGUAAUGGCCCACCAAGACGAUGAUCGGUAUCCGGCCUGAGAGGGCGCACGGACACACUGGAACUGAAACACGGUCCAGACUCCUACGGGAGGCAGCAGUGGGGAAUUUUGCGCAAUGGGGGAAACCCUGACGCAGCAACGCCGCGUGGAGGAUGAAAUAUCUUGGUAUGUAAACUCCUUUCGAUGGGGAAGAUUAUGACGGUACCAUAGAAGAAGCCCCGGCUAACUUCGCGCCAGCAGCCGC
Molecule: ribosomal RNA, 459 nt
Filed under: uncultured bacterium
Lineage: Bacteria
Description: SSU rRNA
Rfam family: Bacterial small subunit ribosomal RNA
Source: RNAcentral